CUGAACAGACAUUUUUCCAAAAGAGGAAAUGCAGGUGGCCAACAGGAACAUGGAAAGUUGCUCAACAUCACCAACAUCAAGGAAAUGCAAAUCAAAACCACAACGAGACACCACCUCACACCCGUCAGAAUGGCCAUCAUCAAAAACAGCAGAAAUGCCAAAUGUUGGCCAGGAUGUGGAGAAGAGGGAACCCUGUACACCGUUGGUGGAAAUCACUUGGAAAUGUGACGCCCCUUCCUUCUAGCCCCCUUGGUUUCUGAUAAGAAGCCUUCUGCCAUUCGAAUUGCUUUCCACUUCUAGAUUAUACAAGCGAUGCAAAUUCUCCGGAAAUUUUGGAAACUAACAUUAUUAGCACACUCAUCAUCCAGAGACAACCAUCAUCGUCACUGAGGUUUAUAUUCUUACAUAAAUACAAACACUUAUAAAAAAUUAA
Long non-coding RNA from Camelus dromedarius (Arabian camel), 433 nucleotides. RefSeq lists it as uncharacterized. The record is from RefSeq and is a predicted model, not a curated record. The transcript is spliced from 3 exons. NCBI's taxonomy places the organism in Eukaryota, Metazoa, Chordata, Mammalia, Artiodactyla, Camelidae.